CCGGAGAAAGGCGACGGGCGCACCGAUCUUCCGUUGGGGGGGCUCGCCGCACCGCCCAUGGCCG
Molecule: non-coding RNA, 64 nt
Filed under: Pseudopedinella elastica
Lineage: Eukaryota; Dictyochophyceae; Pedinellales
Source: RNAcentral